UGGCUCAGAACGAACGCUGGCGGCGUGCUUAACACAUGCAAGUCGAACGCGAAAGGGACUUCGGUCCUGAGUAAAGUGGCGCACGGGUGAGUAACGCGUAGAUAACCUGUCUUCAUGUCUGGAAUAAUACGCCGAAAGGGGUACUAAUACCGGAUAUUCUUGCUUUUCAUAAGUUAUGCAAGCAAAGGUGGCCUCUGCAUAUGCUACUGCAUGAAGAGGGGUCUGCGUACCAUUAGCUAGUAGGUGGGGUAAUGGCCUACCUAGGCGACGAUGGUUAGCGGGUCUGAGAGGAUGAUCCGCCACACUGGCACUGGAACACGGGCCAGACUCCUACGGGAGGCAGCAGUGAGGAAUAUUGCGCAAUGGGGGAAACCCUGACGCAGCGACGCCGCGUGAGUGAGGAAGGCCUUCGGGUCGUAAAGCUCUGUCAAGAGGAAAGAAGUGUACAAUGGCUAAUACCUGUUGUAUUUGACGGUACCUCUAAAGGAAGCACCGGCUAACUCCGUGCCAGCCGCAGC
Molecule: ribosomal RNA, 518 nt
Filed under: uncultured bacterium
Lineage: Bacteria
Description: bacterial SSU rRNA
Rfam family: Bacterial small subunit ribosomal RNA
Source: RNAcentral